This 46-nucleotide small RNA is filed under the name Yersinia intermedia. Its description in RNAcentral is "Yersinia sRNA 209". It matches the Rfam family "Yersinia sRNA 209". The record is from RNAcentral. Lineage: Bacteria; Pseudomonadati; Pseudomonadota; Gammaproteobacteria; Enterobacterales; Yersiniaceae.
AUCAGACGGCAGCAACCAAAUGUCGAAAGAUAGCAAAAGAAUCAGU